AGCUUAGUAAGUGUAGUGGUAGCAUAUUCCAUCAUCAACACUCUGAGGUUGAGGUGGAAGGGUCGUGGGUUCAAAUCCCACUUAAGCUA
Hypoxylon cercidicola is the source of this 89-nucleotide non-coding RNA. NCBI's taxonomy places the organism in Eukaryota, Fungi, Ascomycota, Sordariomycetes, Xylariales, Hypoxylaceae. The record is from the annotation of a GenBank genome assembly.